UUAUACAUACAUUUCUACUUAAACCGAUAUUUAUCUUAGUUACUAGUGAUUUUUUUCCGAAAAGUUGGAAAUACAAUCUGAACCUGAAUUGAUUUAUGUAUAUUCAAUUAUCUGGAUAGAAUGUAUUGAAAUCAAUAUUUAUUGGUUCAAUGAAAAUAGGCUGGUGGACCAGAAGGUAGACAUGGAGCUUCACCAAGUGGUGGACACGCUAGAGACGAUUACAGAGGAAUAGUUAAACCGGUUUAGACAUGUGAUGUAUGGGCCCUUAUUUAUGACUUUCCUCGUUUUAGUUUAGACUUUCUGGUUGAGAUGAGAUGCAGACGUCUCGUUUUAUCCUUAUUGGGCUUUUGUGAAUUUUAACUGCCCAAUUACAUAAAGAGUAAGAGAAGGUUGCAAGUCUGUUUUAGGCUUUUAGCAAUAAGUAAAUCUAUACUAAUAAAGUUGCCUUUUUUCUCUUCUUGGGGGGAAUUAAAACACGUGGCACCCUCAGUCCCGUAUUGGGCCAUGUAUUUCUGAAGCCUUUUUGUUCUUUGGUCUAUUGUUUCAUAAGUAUCUGGGCCUAGGGUGUGAGUUUGACUUACUUUUCUGGCCUGGUCGCCAUAGGUUUCUCUGUCGCCUAGGGUGUGAGUUCUUCGGCCUACGUUCUUUUUUCAGAUGAGAAACAAUGAAAAAAUCUGAAGAGCGUUACAACUUUUCAUUUGGAUCUCCUUGCGUUCCCAGAGGAACAUACUGGAGCUUCGGGUAUAAAUACCCCCUCAUCCAGAGAUGAAGAUUACAGCUUCUCUGAGAAUCUUUAGAAUACUCUGUUCAACUUUCCGGUAAUUACAAUGGGGAAUCCCCAAACCCUUCUUGCCGAUUUGAGAGCUGGCCGGUGCUCCAACACUGCAGAGGUUAGGUUGCUGGAGGCUAGAAAUGUGAGGAAAGGCAGUGAGCUAAUGAGUCUUGACAUGCUCUUUGUCGAUGAGAAUUCGACUCUGACCCAAGGAUCUAUUAGUGCGAACCGUCAACUUAGGUUCAGGGAACGUCUCAAAGGGUCUCUCUACACGUUAACUGGUUUUGACGUCACACGCAGCAGCCACAAUUUUCGGUUGUCUGAUGCUUCCUUCUCGAUUCGGUUCAAUGAUGGAACCUCUCUUGAGAAGAAGACGGAGUCUGUUAGGCCCAUACCUUUGGAACUUUUCAGAUUCAUGCCAUAUAGUCAGUUGCUUGAGCUGGCGACCACUGGCAAACAACUCCUUCAUAUGUAUCUUCAGUCUGAGUAGUUUUAAUGGUUUUGUGAUAUCAUGUGUUAGCGUAAUCACAUAAGUUCUUUAUCAGACAUACUUGGUGAGUUGAAUGCAAUCUGCGUCUUCAAAGUGGUGAAAGUGUUAGUAUGUUUGAUUCGAUGGCUCUUGCAUUUCAUACCAAAUUUGACAGCUAUGGGAAAGAGCCAAAAGUUAUAAUUGCCACGAGCGUGAAUCCUAAGAUAGUUGGUGGUGACUUAUUAUGUAACAGACCAAGAAAGCUUCAACAGUGCCAAGCAAUGGCUAAACCAAAUCGGCCGCUACACCAGUGAGAAUGUGAACAAGCUACUGGUUAGGAACAAUUGUGAUCUCACUUCACAGAAAGUUGUAUCCGCUGAAACAACCAAGUCUUUUGCAGAUGAACGUGGGAUCCUAUUCUUGGAGUCACACGCCAAGAAUGCUACCAAUGUCGAAGAAUGCUACCGUGUUUGUCGCAUUAGACGGUGAAAUGACGAAGCUGAUUAGUGUCCAUGCUGCAGAGGUCCCACAAAUUAUAUUUGUCAGAAAGAAACAGAUGUGAUCCAAUUUCUUAUAAAUAAAGGUUCUCUUAAAGCUUGCUCAUCAACUCAUCUUUGUUGAAGUAAUCAAAACCUAGGUACAGCAACGUGCUUAAUCCAUCGAAGAUUGCUUCAUAAAAAAGGCCCGAUAAAGACAAGACGACCAAAAGACCACUGAUUUUACAUUGGUAGGACGCCACAUUUAAGAUAUUUUCUUAACUACUCUUAAGUUUUAGUUAUAAUGAAAGCCAGCUGUUUCAUAAACACUCUGGCAGCCACCCAACUUCAGAGUUUACGAAUAGUUCAGUUUCUUAAACAGAGCCCAACGAUGAAGUUCAUGUUGCUGGAGAUUGCUGUAAAACAAAUGAAUGAUUAGAAACAUAAUCACACAUGUAAAAAGCUACCAAAGCAUUUUUUACAUGCAAUGAAAUAAAAGAUAAUAAUAUGGCCUUAGUUGUUUGAGUGUUUUUUUUUAUUUGGAAUUUUGGUUUCAUCUAUAUAAUUAUUUUCUCAAACUUAAUUUACAAGGUCAGAAUAAAUCACUAAAAUGUUACUCAAGAAAUAUUUACAAAUAAGAUACAUGUUUGAAGUUGGAGCUGGAUGCACAGAAUAAUGUGAUUUUAGUAUUUGAUGUUUUUAUAAUGCUGAAAGUAACAUAACAACAGUCUGUGGUGUUACACGAAAAAAGAAAAAAAAAAUGUGGUAUUUACAAUGGAGACAAAGACAGCAACAAUAAAAUACGAAAGCAUAAUAAAAAGAUGUCAAUAGUCACCAUAAAGCGAUGGAGUAGCGAAAGAUAAAGAAGAAACAUGUGAUAGAGUUGGGUGAAUUUUAGUAUUUGACUAAGAAAACUUUUGAAUAAAAACAUUAUUAGAGACAUACUCAUAAUCACAGAUCAUAAAAUAUAUUAAGAUAUA
Brassica rapa (field mustard) is the source of this 2697-nucleotide long non-coding RNA. RefSeq lists it as uncharacterized. Lineage: Eukaryota; Viridiplantae; Streptophyta; Magnoliopsida; Brassicales; Brassicaceae. The record is from RefSeq and is a predicted model, not a curated record.